UUUUUUUUGCUAUAUUACAUAUUUCUGGUGCUCUAAGAAAUGAAGUUUUGUUAUGUUAAAGUUUUGGCAAGGCAUAAUUGGAGAAAAAUCAAACAUUUGAGAAUUUAAUUUUAACUUUUACAUUUCAGAUUAAGCACUAAUGUAAAAGCCAAUAUAUGUUCUUAACCAUUACAUGUAGAUGCAUUUAAAAAUCAACUGAGGGGUGCCUCAGUCAGUUGAGUUAAUCCGACUCUUGAUUUGGCUUGGGUCAUGAUCCCAGGGUCGUGGUAUUGAGCUCUGCUCCGCAUCUGGCUCUGCUCUGAGUGUGGAGCCUGCUUAAGAUCCUCUCUCUCCCUUUUCCUCUAUCCCUCUCCCUUGAUCACAUGUGCGCAUGCUGUCUCUCUCUCAAAAAUAAAUAAACAUCUAAAAUAAAAUUAAAAAACAAAAUUUAAAAAUCAACUGAAAAUUAUAAUUUGCCCUUAUUGUGGGAAUUUCCUUUAGAGAGUCUGGUACUUGUUAAAUUGAAAGUAUGUAAAACAUCUUUGUUACCAAUUGUCUAAUGAUAAUUUUGGUAAUGACACUGUUACAGCCUUCCUUUUCAGAAAAUUCCAUAGUUUUCCUAUUAUUUGCUGUUGGUACAUGACCUAUAUGGUCAAGACUACCACAAAAAGAAAUGGAAUUGCAAUUUAUAUAAGCACUUUUAUUUUCUUUAUGUAUUUAUGUAUUUAUUUUAAUUUUUUAAUUUAAUUUAUUUAAAAAAAUUUUUAUUGUUUAUUUUAUUUUUGAGAGAGAGAGAGAGAGAGAGACAGAGUGCAAGCAGGGGAGGGACAGAGAGAGAGGGAGACAACAGGAUCCAAAGCAGGCUCCAGGCUUCCACCUGUCAGCACAGAGCCCGGCACAGGAGCUUGAAGUCAGGAACUGUGAGAGCAUGACCUGAGCUGAAAUUGGCUCUUAACUGACUGAGCCACCCAGGUGCCCCUUUAAUUUUUUUUUGAGAGAGAGCACACAUGUGCAUAUGAGAGAAUGCAAGCAGGGGAGGGGUAGAAGGAGAGAGAGAAUCUUAAGCAGGCUCCUCCACCAGCACAGAGCCCCAUGCCACUAUCUCCAUCUUAGCGUGAGAUCAUGACCUGAGCUGAAAUCAAGAGCUUAAUCGACUGAGCCACACAGGUACCCUUAUUUGAGCACUUUCAAUCUCCUCUAUCAGUUUCAAUGUUAAAACAGCCUUUAAAAGUACGGUGGUCGUGUUUUGGUUCCUUUUUAAUAUUUUAGUCUGGUGGUUUGCCUCUGUCAGGAGCUCAAUCUUGUGAAUGUUGUUAUUUCUUUAGUUAGAUAUUAAGAGAAUCUAUGUACUAGAAGGGUUCACUACAUUUAAUUUUUUUAUAAAGUACUGUUUUUAAAUUAGAAGGUUUUUAAAAGAUAUACCAGUUUCCAUGUGUUGAGAAAUAUUUAUCAAACACUCUUCUAGGUACUGUGACACUACCCAAAAAAGUCCUAAAGCUUAGAGAGCUUACGUUCUAUUGGUGUGUUGUCUUCCAAUUAAAUACAUUAAUUUCUUUUCCUUCAAAGGCACUGAUAUGGCAUUAUAACCAAUUGUAAAAGAAUGACCUCUAUAGAAUUAUAUUACUAGUUGCAUAAUAUUGUCAUCCUCUGUGCAAAGGAUUGAUUGGCCAAAAGGGUUGAAUAUUAUUUGUGAAAUAUAGAGAGCAUACAGAUAAGCCACCCCAAUAGAGAAAUAUUAUAAAGGAAAAUAAUUCAGAUGGAUUGAUCAUAUGACAGCAAUUUGAAAAACGUACCUUAAACAUAUGCACAGUAAACCUGUAAUACAUUUUUAGGGGGAUGUUAGAAGAAGGAAAGACAAUCAUAUUGCAUAACCUUACUUACACCUAAAGGGAUUUGAGCAAUAAACUUUUUCAAGUUUCUUGGUACUUUCAGUUUCCUACAAGAGUAUUAAUGCUUUAUUUUUAAGCCUGGUUUGUGAAAUUCACUUUGUAAUUCUCCAGAAAUAACAGAUGUGUUGCAUAUCUAUUUAUCCAAACAGAAGAAAUGAAUCUCUGAAAACACAGAAGCCAUGUAAGAGUCACUAAACAACCUUAAAUAUUAGGGUAAAAUCAAGUCUGGCUUUUGACUGCAUUUAACUUACCACUUGAGGUGUUGGUAAAAUCAUUUGCAGUAUUCAAACUGAAAAUGCUAAAGGCAAGUUCUGUGUAUUAAUUUAUUUCCUGUAGUCUUUGGCAGAAUGCUGCUAGUGAAAGAAGGAUACAAAAGGUUACUGUGGCUAGAGAGAAGGAGCAGGAAAAGAUUGUGGACUUUAAGGGCGGUUCCUUGCCUGAGGACAAACAGAACAAAUAUGGACACCCUGUCAAAUAGCCUGUGGUGACACACUGUUGCGCCUAAAGUUUUUGCUAUUUUUAUUCUUUUGAGAAAGAAGUUUAUGAAGAGUUGGGCAUACUACCCAAGAAGUUAGUGUUAUGUGUAUGUGGUGGGAUUCUUUUUUGGUAAAUUUCAUCAGCAUAGAAAUUUAAAAUGUAACUUAAUUUAGCCUUGUGCAGUUAGCUUUCUGGCCAUUGCUGUUACAGAAGAUUGGCAAAAUUGUUUGAAAUGGUGGAGUAUAUACUUGGAGCUUUUUGUUCUACCAGUCUCUUCCCAUAGAACAAUGAGGAUAACUAUCUGGAGAGAAGAUUGAGGAUUAUUUUCUGUGUUUAUGUUGAUUCUUAAUUUUAUUUAUUCAUUUUUAAAUUUCUUAAUGUUUAUUUUUGAGAGAGAGAGACAGACAGACAGACAGAGAUAGGAGCCUGAGCGGGGGGAGGAGCAGAGAGAGGGAGACACAGAAUCCAAAGCAGGCUCCAGGUUCUGAGCUGUCAGCACAGAGCCUGACUGUGGGGCUCAAACUUAUAAGCCUUUGAGCUGUGAGAUCAUGACCUGAGUUGAAGUUGGAUGUUAACCGACUGAGCCACCCAGGUGCCCUGUCUGCUCUGAUCUUUAUUAUUUUCUUCCCUCUGCUAGCUUUGGGUUUAGUUUGUUCUUUUUUUUCUGUUCCUUAUAUUCCCCCCCGCCCACCAGGGCUACUGGCUGCUUGGUUUAUUUUCCACUUGGUGCAAGGCACAUGGUUACAGGGUGUUGGGAAGGCUUGCCUGUGGCUUGGGUAGUAAAAAGUGGCAUUUUCUCAACUUCCUUUUUGGUGUUUUGUUAUUUUGAUGUAAAAGAACACAAGUACUUCUGCCACAGCCCAGCUAGUCUAGGAGGGGAGGGGAGGGGAGGGAAAAGAGGGAAGGGAGGGGCUCUGAUGAGCCUAGAGCCUCCUGAAGCCUGACAGGGGCCCCUCAGGACUGAGGCCCGGUGUUGGCUUUGCCAGGCUGGCCACCAGGCUGCUUCCUCAUGGCUUCCAGAGCCAGGUCUCAGGUGAUCGAGCUGCCGAAGUCCUGGGGAGAUUCCCAACGCUCUGGGGACUCCAACACUGUAUCCAUGAAUGGGAGAGUGGACUUCCUGAAAAAGAAGCUUGCCCACCAGUGACCUCGGUCGGCCUUGGGGAGACGCCAGUAAUAGUCAUGGGUGGCCACGAGUGAGCUGCUGGAGGAGAUGACUGCCAUGCUGUUGCUUGUGGGCCUGUGGAAACCUCUGUGGUGACCCCUUGCAGGCCUCGUUGUGCAAUAACAGGUGGGAGGGACAGGGACGCUAGGCCACGGAGCCCUUUUGCAGAGGAGACCCCCCAAGGCUGCUCCACGACCAAAGUGCAUGCGGAGUCUCUGUUCCUUAUGUUCUAAAGUUAGGUUGUUGAUCUGAGAUCUUUCUUGUAUUUUAAUAUGUGCAUUUAUAGCUAUAGGGGUGGCUGGGUGGCUCAGUUGGUUAAGCAGCCAACUUUGGUUCAGGUCAUGAGCUCACAGCUUGAGGGCUCAUGGGUUCGAGCCCUGCAUCAGUCUCUGUGCUAACAGCACAGAGCCUGGAGCCUGCUCUCAAUUCUGUGUCUCCCUCUCUCUCUGCCCCUCCCCUGCUUGUGCUCUGUCUGUCUGUCUCUCUCUCUCUUAAAAAUAAAUAAACAUUAAAAACAAAUUAAAAAACAUUUUCCCUUUGGCACCGCUUUUGCUGUGUCCUGUAAUUUUUAGUAUGUUGUGUUUUUCAUUUUCAUUAUUCUCUAGAUAGUUUCUAGUUUGCCUUAUGAUUUCUUCUUUGAGCUAGUGGUUGUUUAAAAAUGUGUUAUUUCGGGUGCCAGGGUGGCUCAGUUGGUUAAGCAUCUGACUCUUGAUUUCAGCCCAGGUGAUGAUCUCACAGUUGUAAGAUUGAGCCCUGUAUGGAGCUCCGUCCUGGGCAUGGAGCCUGUUUAAGAUUCUCUCUCCCUCUCUCUUUGCCCUGUCCCCUGCUUGCUCUUUCUCUCUCUCUCAAAAAGUGCAUGUUUCAUUUACACAAUUUUGUGAAUUUUUCAGUUUUCUUUUUUUUAUUGAUUUCUAACCUUUUCCCAUUGUUGACAGGGAAGAUACUUUGUAUAUCUUUUAAAAACUAUUGAGACUUCAAUUUGUGGUGGCCUCUAAUGUAUGGUUUUUCUUGGAAAGUGUCCUAUGUGUGCUUGGGAAUAAUGUGUGUUCUGUUGUUAUUGGGUACAGUGUUCUGUUUAUAAUUGUUAGGUCUAGUUAAUUUUGUUGUUGUUUAAGUUUUCUCUAUUUCCUAACAUUCUAUCUGGUUGUUCUGUUUAUUUUUGUGAGUGAGAUUUUGAAGUCUUUAUUAAUUUGGAGUAUCUAAUUCUCCUUUUAGUUCUAUCAGUUAUUGCUUCAUAUAUUUUGAUGAUCUUUCAUUAGGUACAUGAACAUUUAUAAUUAAUAAGUAUUCUCAUUGUAUUGAAACUUUUAUUAAUGUAUGAUGUUCUCUUUGUCUCAUGACCUUUAUUUAUUUUUAUUUUUUUGAGUUUAUUUAUUUUUGAGAUAGAGGAGGGGCGGGGGGCAGAGAGAGACAGAGAGAGAGUCCCAAGCAGACUCCGCACUGUCAGCACAGAGCUCAGUGCAGGGCUGGAAACCAUGAACUGUGAGAUCAUGACCAGAGCAGAAAUUGAAUUGGACGCUUAGCCAACCGAGCCACCCAGGCAUGCCUCAUGACCUUUCUUGACUUAAAAUGUAUUUUGUCUGAUAUUAGUGUAGCUCUCUUUUGGUUGCUAUAUGCAUGCAAUAUCUUCUUUUUACUUUACUUCAACCUGUUUAUGGCUUUGGAUUUCAAGUGAGUCUUGUGUAGACAACAUAUAGUUGGAUCAUGUAUUUCUACCCAUGCCAAUCUGUUUUUUUAUUGGAGUGUUUAAUCCAUUUAUUAAAGUAAUUACUGAUAAGGACUUAAUUAUGUCAUUGUGCUCUUUGUUUACUGUGUGCCUUAUAGCUUUUUCAUUCCUUAUUUUCUGAAUUACUAUCUUUUGUGUUUAUUUCAUUUUUUUGUAGUGAAAUGUUUAAAUUACUUUCUCAUUUCCUUUUAUGUAUAUUCUAUAGCUAUUGUGUUUGUAAUUAGCAAGGGAAUUACAUUUAGCAUCCUAAAGUUAUGACACUCCUACUUGAAUUUAUACCAGCUUAACUUCAGUAAUAGAAAAGCUGCUCUUUUAAGGCACCAUUCCCACCCUUUUCACUUGCUAAUAUCCCAUAAUUACAUUUUAAUACAUUGUAUGCCCCAAAAUAUAAACAAGUAAUUUUCAAAAUGUAUUUAGUCUCUUAAAUUAUGUAGAAAACAGGAUUUGAGUUACAAAUCAAAGUUACACUAAUACUUGCUUUUAUGCUGAUAAUUUUUUUCUUUAAAUGUAUCAAUCAUGUAAAUCAUAUACAAAACAAAAAGUAUAGUUACAAAUCAUUGUUACAAUAAUACUGUAUUUUGUAAUUGUCCACAUAUAUACCUUUAGUGAGAUCUUUAUUUCUUCAUACAGCUUCAAGCUACUAUCUGGUGUCCCUUCCUUCCACCCUGCAGGACUCCCUUGUGCAUUUCCUGCAAGGCAGGUCUAGUGCUCACAAACUGACUCAACUUUUGUUUACUUGAGAAUGUCUUUAAUUUCUCCCUCAUUUUGAGGGACAGUUUUGCCAGAUACAGAAUUCUUAGUUGACAGGUUUUUUCUUUUAGCACUUUGAAUAUAUAGAACCACUGUCUUCUGGCCUUCAGAGUUUUUGAUGAGAAGUCUGUUAGCAUUCUUUGUUUUUCAUUCAUUCAUUCAUUCAUUCAUUUUUAAACUAUUAUUAUUAUUUUUUAUUUUAGAGAGCAGGAGUCAGGGAGAAGGGCAGAGGUAGAGAGAGAGAUUCUCAAGCAGGCUCCACACUCAGCCCAGAGCCUGAUGCAGAGCUUGAUCCCAUGACCCUGGGAUCAUGACUUGAGCCGAAAUCAAGAGUCAGAUGCCCAACCAACUGAGCCACCCAAGUGCCCCUACAAGAAUUUCUCUCUUUGUUUUUUGACAGUUUAAUUAUAAUAUGUCUCAGUGUGGGUCUCUUUGAGACGUAUCCUACUUGGAAUUCAUUGAACUUCUUGGAUAUUUAUAUGUCAUUCAUCAAAUUUGGGAGGUUUUCAGGCAUUCUUCAAAUCUCUGUCCCAUUCUCUCUUCUCCUUCUGGGACUCACAUGAUGCAUAUAUUAGUCUGCUUGAUGGUGUCACACAGGUUCCAUAGGCUUUAUUUACUUUUUUCCCAAUCUUUCUCUUCCUCAGACUUGAUAAUUUCUGUUGUCCUAUUUUUGAGUUCACUGAUGUUUCUUCUGCCUGCCCAAAUUUGCCAUUGAAUCCCUCUACUGAAAUUUUCAUUUCAGUUGUAUACUUUUCAGCUCCAGAAUUUGUUUUUGGUUUCUUUUUAGGUUUUUUAUUUCUUUAUUGAUAUUUCCAUUUUGUUCACACAUUGUUUUAAUUUCUCCAUACUUUAGUUCUUUGAGCAUUUGUAAGUCCCUUGUUUUAAAGACUUAGUCUAGUUUAUACACUAUAAGUUCUUUUUUUGGGAAUAGCUUCUGUUGAUUUAAUUUUUUUCUAUGAACAAGCCUUACUUUCUUUGUAUGCCCUGUGAUUUUUUUUGUUGAACAUGAGACAUUUUAGUCUAAUAAUGUAACUCUGGACCUCUCCCCCUUACUCAAGGUUUAGUUUUUGUUUUUUUGAUUGUCGUAGGCUCUCUCUGUGCUGAGAAUCGGCCUGAGGGGUAAACUUAAGGUCUUACCAAGUUUUUUUCCUGAGGCUUUCCCUGUCCAUACAUGGUCACUUUCUAAUUUUCCUGCAUAUGCAUAUUCUAGUCAUGAUCUAGUCAUUCAUUUGAAUGUUCUAGUCGUUAAAGUCUAGCUUCUGAAAGGGAAAAAAAGCCAAAAAAAAAAAAAAUGAAGGUGAGGAAAAGGGUGCUACUUCCUUAAAUUUCCUGUAAAUCAUUUAGUGGGGCUUGCAACACUUGGGAGAGGUACAACAAAAUGGCUGCCUUCCUCUUUGUCUCUACCUCUGUGAUCAGAAGCAGCAGUUAGCAAUCUAACAGAUUUCCAAUAUUUGGAGGCGAGGGUCCUUUUUGCCCGCCUUGGUUUCCACAAGCUCUGUGCGAGCUUCUCCAGGAACAUGUACACAGCUGUUGGCCAUGUGUCUGGAGGAUGAAUAGCUGCUAAUCUGCUAAGAGCUGAAAUUGACUGAAAUUAGCCAGAAUUUACUCUUCCAAAUCUUCCCCUGGAAGUUACAAGCCUUCAGCCUCUCCAGAGUUCCAAAAUAGUUACAGCAGACAGAUUCUGCCGCAAUAGUUAUCCUCUAGGUGGGGAGACAGAUUCCUGGGGCUUCCUACUCUACCAUCUUCCCAGAAUCCUCUGCCUGUUGCCUUCUUUUUAACCAAGAGUCUAGUGUGUUUCUGACUUUAACUCUGAUUACAAAUUUGUGUUUUUGAUCUAGGGAGAUAGUUAUUUCAUUUAAUGUCUAUUUUUGUCUUGUUUGUUUUCUUUUUUAAAUUAAUGUAUUUUUUAUUUGAUUUGUAGGUUUUGAGUGGGAUGGGUAGAUAAUACAUGAAAACAUGAAUUUAUUAUAUGAUCUUAAAGUCUUUCUUAGUCUUUUUUAAAAUGUUUAUUUAUUUUUGAGAGAGCAUGCACAGGUGCGCGGGGGAGGGACAGAGAAGGGGACAGAAGAUCCACAGCUGGCUCCAUGCUGACAGCAGAGAGCCCAAUACGGAGCCUGAACCCACAAACUGUGAGAUUGUGACCUGAGCCGAAGUUGGAUGCUAAACUGACUGAGCCACCCAGGCAUCCCAAAAGAUUUCUUACGUUAAUCAAGGAUUACUUGAGGGUAUGGCAAACCUGACAUCGUUUCUUUAACUGUAGGUUUUCACUGUCUUGGAAAGAGAAUCAGUGCUCAGAUUUCCAGAAAUUUGAGUGUUGGCAGUAAAACAACAACAACAACAACAACAACAACAACAACAAAAAC
Long non-coding RNA from Neofelis nebulosa (Clouded leopard), 8346 nucleotides. RefSeq lists it as uncharacterized. The transcript has 2 exons. Lineage: Eukaryota; Metazoa; Chordata; Mammalia; Carnivora; Felidae. The record is from RefSeq and is a predicted model, not a curated record.